RNAcentral lists this unclassified non-coding RNA (324 nucleotides) under Hevea brasiliensis (rubber tree). The record is from RNAcentral. Lineage: Eukaryota; Viridiplantae; Streptophyta; Magnoliopsida; Malpighiales; Euphorbiaceae.
CAUAGCAGUAACAGUCUUCCUCCUAGCAUGUUCUGUGUAGGUAACAGAAUCACGAAUCACGUUCUCCAAAAAGAUCUUAAGAACACCUCUUGUCUCUUCAUAAAUCAACCCACUGAUUCUCUUCACUCCACCUCUUCUUGCCAACCUCCUAAUAGCAGGCUUGGUGAUACCCUGGAUGUUGUCACGAAGGAUCUUGCGGUGACGCUUCGCGCCACCCUUUCCGAGACCCUUUCCACCCUUUCCACGUCCAGACAUAACGAGCUUGAAGUUGCGAGACUGUUGAGAGAGGAAGCUGGAGGUUGUGUGGGGAGUGAAGAAGGAGAA